Molecule: long non-coding RNA, 3727 nt
Filed under: Homo sapiens (human)
Lineage: Eukaryota; Metazoa; Chordata; Mammalia; Primates; Hominidae
Description: non-protein coding lnc-SC5D-4:4
Source: RNAcentral
GCCUUCACGAUCGUGAUGGCCCGCUGGUCCCACUUCUCUGUCUCAAACUGGCUUUUUCUCAAUCCUUUGACUCCGCCGGGCUUUGUCACCCCCAUGACCUGGUGUUGGGUCUGAUCACCCCAACGUUCCUGGCUGCUCAAUGUGGGGUGACAAAGACCCCGGUGAAGGAACGCUAGAGCGUGUGAAAGCAGAGGACGCAUCAUCAGAGGACACCUGAGGAUGUCUAAAAGAAGCUCAGCAGGAAAGCUGAGUGCUGGGAAGAACCAGGGUAGCAAUGGGACAAAGUGAAAGCAGACAUUCUGCUUAUUUAAAUUUCUUAAGGCGUUUAUUAUGAAGAGGGGGGAGUGAAAGUUAGUGCUCAGAAUUUAUCACUCUUCAGUGCAGUAAAGCAGUUUUGCCCAUGGUUCCCGGAACAAGGGACUAUGGAGUUGGAUGAAUGGGAGAGAAUUGGCAGAGAUUUUUAAAAAAACAUAUAAAGGUGGAGCAAAUAUUCCAGUCUCGGUUUGGUCAAUGUGGGCACUAAUAAAAGCAGCUCUUGAGCCAUUUCAAACAGAUCAUGAGGCAGAUUCAGAUGAGGAAGAGGAGGGCGAGUGUAAAAAACUAACUUCAGAUUCUGAAUGUGAGGAACAGAAACCGGAGGAAAUCAAAGAAAGGGAAACCGAAAAAGGUCCUAAUAAGAGAUGAAGAACAAUGAAGAUAUCGUGAAAAAUAUUUUGCUUCCCUGCCUUCAUACAAUCCUCUAACAGUCAAAAAUGUAUCUGCAGCGCCCAGUAAGGCCAACUGAUGACUCAAACACAACCCCCCAAGGGUGUCCUUAUGCCCUUCCAUUGCUUAAAAUAAAGAGCUCGGGGGUCACUUACGGAAAUCAAUGGGUAAGUCAAAAUGUUAGCCAUAUAACGCCAGCUAUAUUUACUUCAAAGGAAGCAAAACUGUCAUGCCCAAAGACAAAAACAAACGUGAUAUCUGAUGACAUCAUCAUACUUUAGUCAUUCACCAUGCCAAAGAAAAGCUUUUUUUUUUUCUGAGACAGAAUCUUGCUCUGUCACCCAGGCUGGAGUGCAAUGGCAUGAUCUCGGGUCACUACAACCUCUGUCUCCCCGGUUCAAGCAAUUCUCCUGCCUCAACCUCCUGCGUAGCUGGGAUUACAGGACAAGAACUCAGGGCAAAGGUGCCACUGGCCACAGAGGUUUUCAGGAAGAAAAUUGACACCCCAAAGAUUGCCACCGGCUACAGAGGCUUCCAGAAAGAAAAUUGACACCUCAAAGAUCCCGUAACAGUUCCUCUCUAGGUUAUAGGACAGCUGCCAAUUACAAUAAGGCCUGCUCACUUUCUUCUUUACAUUCAGCAGAGAGAAAUUGCCUCUCCCUAAGCCAUCAGACAGUCUAUCUUCAGUCUUUUGGGGUCAGUUUGCGAUGCUACCCAAACAAUGUAGGGCUGGUUCCUUGAAGCAAUCACUGAUUGGCUUGCUGGCCAGGGCCCAUCUACUGAGUUCAGGUCAGUUCCUCAAAGCUCACUGCUGCAACAUGAUGGAAAGUGGGGGUGAAUGUUGAGGAAUCAACUACUCUAUCCACUACAAAAGAUUUCCUCAGAAAACGCUCAUGUUUUUACUAAACUGACGCUUGACUGUACAUUUAUUUUGAAGUUUGCUAAGAUGAAAGGAAUUUUAGUAUUUCUUACAGUUAGUGUCUAAGGUAGAUCUCUGGAAAGGUUACGUGCCAUCUUGAAUUGCAGUUAGAUUUCAGACAAUUCAUGAAAUAUCAAUAUUCAAAUAUAAAUAGGAAGUAUAAACUGAUUUUUAACCUAAUUUUUAAAAAGUCAGUUAUUAGAUAAAAUAAUGUUAAAGUAAAAAUUGUAGCUAAGCAUUAAAGGCAAUAAAUAUGUCCAAAGACAUACAUAGAGAGAUUCUUUCAAUUGGAGGAAGACCACUCCCCUAAUAAUCUAAGGUUGCCUUACAUGACAGCUACAGUGCAUAAACACUCAAACAUAAUUUUAUUCUUGAGCUGCAGAAAAUUUAAACAUUUGUGUGAUAUCGUCUACAUAUAUGGAAUAUACGCAUUCCUUUCGCUCUUCAAAAUUUCUGUAAGGAAGUAAUAUAUGCACAUCGCAACAAAAUUCAACCAGCACCAAUAGUUUUUUAAGUCUCUUUCUCACUCAAAUUUCCCCAGAAUCUUCCUUCUUAAAGGCCUAAGAUUAUCAGUUUCUUGUGUGUUCUUCCCUAAAUAUUCUGUAUAUAAGAAAACAGAUACAGCCUUUUUUUUUUUUCUUUGUGAGAUGGCGUGUCGCUCUGUCUCCCAGGCUGGAGUGCAGUGGCACAAUCUCAGCUCAUGACAACCUCUGCCUGCUGGGUUCCAGCGAUUCUCCCACCUCAGCCUCCUGAGUAGCUGGGAUUACAGGUGCUCACCACCAUGCCCAGCUUUUUUUUUUUUUUUUUUUAGUAGAGAUGGGGUUUCACCAUGUUGCCUAGGCUGGUCUCGACUUCCUGACCUCAAGUGAUCCACCUGCCUCGGGCUCCCAAAAUGCUGGGAUUACAGGUGUGAGCCACCACGCCUGGCCCCCAGAUACAUCCUUUCAAAAAAAUACAAAUGGGAACACAGCUACACUGUUCAGAAACUUGCUUAUCUUCGUUUGAUAAUACACUGCGUUCAUACUCCAUAGAGUGAUCCAACCUUGAGUAACUAACUGCAUGAUUAUAUCUCAUGAACUUGAAGUGGAGGUAAGGACAGCACUUGGGCUUAGAUGACGGCUGCUGUAGAAGGAGUGAUUCACUGCCCAGGAAGGGAAAAUGCAAUGAAGAACAGGAGCCCUGAAGGAAUGUGCCACAGCACCUGGAGUGAGGGAAACAAAAUCACCAGCAAGAGGUGAAAGUGAUGGGGACAAAGAAGGCUGGGGCCUCACAAAUUGCCUACGGUUGUUGUUGUUGUUGUUGUUGUUUUGAAACAGGGUCUUGCUCUGUUGCCCAGGCGGGAGUGUGGUCGCACAAUCUCGGCUCACUGCAACCUCCGCCUCCCAGGUUCCAGCAAUUCUCCUGCCUCAGCUUCCCAAGUAGCUGGGACUACAGGCAGACACCACCACACCCGGCUAAUUUUUGUAUUUUAAUAGAGACGAGGUUUUGCUAUGUUGGCCAGACUGUUCUUGAACUCCUGACCUCCAGUGAUCCACCCACCUCAGCCUCUCGAAGUACUGGGAUUACAGGCGUGAGUCACUGCACCCAGCCUGUUCUUUUGUCUUUCAACAAUCUAGAGUCAGAGUGAAGAAUUUUACUGUGAUUCUGAAAACAAAGAAUUCUUUACUUGGUUAAUGAAGUUUUGUUUUGCUUUGUUUUUUUUUCCUUCGUCUUUGUGUAAUGGUUUUUGAAUGGGCUGUUUUUGAAUAAAAGCCUUUCGUCCUAGGGCAAUCCCAUAGUUAGGGUAUUUCUGCAUGUGAGAUUCUCUACUUCACCACUAGAUGGACCUACUUGAUAUUUUGUCUUCCGAAAAAGCGAAACAAUUUUAUACUGUGAAGUCUUUCUGACAAAGAUUUAAACUGCUCACCUUAAAAAAAGAUUUGAGGGCUUAAAAUAAUAAUAAACCAAAUCACUUUUACAAAAUAAUGAGUAAAAUGUACUUAUAUAUUUAAAUAAUGUUAAUAAAAUGAAACACUUGUAUAACCGCCUCCUGGCUUAAGAAAUAAAAUAUAACCAAAUAAAUCCUUGAAGCCAACUAUGCUUCCUCUCUGAUUUUCCCCUUCU